This 2065-nucleotide long non-coding RNA is filed under the name Dicentrarchus labrax (European seabass). Its description in RNAcentral is "lncRNA (ENSDLAG00005033059.1)". Lineage: Eukaryota; Metazoa; Chordata; Actinopteri; Moronidae. The record is from RNAcentral.
GUUGUAGGAGGAGCUGUUGGACUGGCGUUUGAACUUCCUGAGGCGAUUGACAACUGGAAAGAGCUGAUCAAGAAUAAUCAUGUGACUGAAGCGAGCCAAUCACUGAGAGAUACAGCUAAGGCCAUUGAAAAGAUCUGCCAGACACUGAGGGAACAGUUCGACAACAUGAAGUAAGAAGUUUUCUGUGAUUGUCCACCUAGAUUCUCUCCUCCUGUAGAUCUGAGAACAGCAGCUGGACUCAUUUAGAUUCAUGUUACUUCAAAUACUGACUGCUUGUCCUGCUGGAAAACCCAUCCAAAGAAACUUUACUUUACUGUCCACCUGUAUAGUCAGACCACUGACUAUACAGGUGGACACCGAUACAGACUUUAUCAGGUAUCGACCGUGUCAGGAUAUUCAGGCUUCAUUUUUGUACAGUGGGAGGAAGUGGAGACGUCCAUCUUUUAUAUGUAGAUGAGCCAUACUCAUACAUACUCAUAUUUUUACUAGAAAAUGGAUAAAUCUGUAGCAAGACCUACAAAAAGUUUUCAACAUGACAAAUAAUCACUUCCAGACACUGAAGCUAACAACAUGCUCGCUAGCAGAUUCACAGACGAUUUCAUUGGACACAUUUUGACAGGGGAUGGAACGGUUGACAACGUUGCUUUCAGUUGGGUUCAAACCUUUCUAUCUCUAAUUUUGAUACAGGUCAUUACUUCCCAACAUUUACAUGAACAUCGUUUCAGGGUAAAAUGUUUGCUCGCAACCACUGAUGUUGAUUUAUGCUAACUGUCAUUUCAUUUGUUUUAUUCACAGAAAGAUGUUACAAGAGAUGGACAAAAGACAACAAGAAGAAGAGGAGAAGGCUAAAAGACGACAAGAAGAAGAGAAGAAGGCUAAAAGACGACGAGAGGAAGAGGAGAAGGCUAAAAGACGACAAGAAGAAGUUGAUCAAACAAAUCAAAAUAAAGAGACAGAAAGUGGUCAGCAGGGAGGGGGUGAUCAGGGAGAUAAGGAGAGUGAUAGGGACGAUGAGGAGAGUGAUCAGGAGGAUGAGGAGAGUGAUUGUGAAGAUGAGGAGAGUGAUCAGGAGGAUGAGGAGAGUGAUUGUGAAGAUGAGGAGAGUGAUCAGGAGGAUGAGGAGAGUGAUUGUGAAGAUGAGGAGAGUGAUCAGGAGGAUGAGGAGAGUGAUUGUGAAGAUGAGGAGAGUGAUCAGGAGGAUGAGGAGAGUGAUUGUGAAGAUGAGGAGAGUGAUCAGGAGACGGAUAGUGAGGAAGAGACAGAGGAAGAUGAACGCAAGCAGACUGGUAGAAAAAGGACAAAGCGCCAUCGAAAGAAGGGCACUCGAAGUAAACAAAGAGGAGACAGUGAGGACAGUUGUAUUGACCAAGACCAGAGAACCAUCCAGACACCUCCUGGAACUAUAAGAGGGGCGCUACUCAAUGUUUGUUCACUGGAAAAGAAACGAGACCCUGAAAAAAAAAAAAAAGAUCUUAAAGCUCAUACCAAAAAACAACCUGGACCUCUUUCUCACAACAGAGACGUUGUUACGAGAAGACAAUGCAGACUCAGUCCUCAGGGAGGUUUCACCACCGAAUUACACUACAGAUUAUCAGUUCUGCAUCAUGAUGAGUGGAACCAGCCGGUCCCUGUCAUCAAUGUGUAUCACCCACCGGGGUACAACAGGGACCAGUUCCGUACAUUUCUGGAUGAGUUUGAAACGCUCUUGGCUCAUUUCAACAACUACAACAGCAUCAUUGUGACUGGAGAUUUCAAUAUCUGGGUCGAUCAGGAAAGGAGGUCUUUCACUGAUGAGUUUUAUCAUAUUUGGCCGAUCUACAACCUCGAGCAGCAUGUACGGGAGCCAACACACCGGGCAGGUCACACUCUGGAUCUCGUCCUCACCAGAAAUGUUGAAAUCUCUGAUCUUGUUGUCCGAGAUGAUGGAAUAUCAGAUCAUUACACCGUAUAUUUCAAUGCAAAGCCAGUGUCAAAGGAGAGUCAGGAGAAAACUAAAGAAAACAAGGAUCAAGACGAGCAGCCAAAACGAUUGAAAAAGAGCGAAGCUGAGCAGAGACGAGGCUAA